UACGUAGGGGGCAAGCGUUGGUCCGGAUUUUAUUGGGCGUAAAGAGCGGUGUAGGCGCCAGGUAGGGUGGGUUGUGAAAACUGGAGGCUCAACCUUCAAGAGGGUCCGACCCCAAACCCCCUGGCUAGAGUCCGGAAGAGGAGAGUGGAAUUCCGUGGUGUAGCGGUGAAAUGCGCAGAUAUCAGGAAGAAACACCCGUGGCGAAGGCGGCUCUCUGGGAGCGGUACUGACGCUGAGACGCGAAAGCGUGGGGAGCGAACAGG
Molecule: ribosomal RNA, 263 nt
Filed under: uncultured bacterium
Lineage: Bacteria
Description: partial 16S ribosomal RNA
Rfam family: Bacterial small subunit ribosomal RNA
Source: RNAcentral